RNAcentral lists this ribosomal RNA (398 nucleotides) under uncultured bacterium. RNAcentral's name for it is "partial 16S ribosomal RNA". It matches the Rfam family "Bacterial small subunit ribosomal RNA", at positions 523 to 918 of the family's 1533-position model. The record is from RNAcentral.
AUACGUAGGGUGCGAGCGUUGUCCGGAAUUACUGGGCGUAAAGAGCUCGUAGGUGGUUUGUCGCGUCGUCUGUGAAAUUCCGGGGCUUAACUCCGGGCGUGCAGGCGAUACGGGCAUAACUUGAGUACUGUAGGGGAGACUGGAAUUCCUGGUGUAGCGGUGAAAUGCGCAGAUAUCAGGAGGAACACCGGUGGCGAAGGGGGGUCUCUGGGCAGUAACUGACGCUGAGGAGCGAAAGCAUGGGUAGCGAACAGGAUUAGAUCCCCUGGUAGUCCAUGCCGUAAACGGUGGGCGCUAGGUGUAGGGGUCUUCCACGACUUCUGUGCCGUAGCUAACGCAUUAAGCGCCCCGCCUGGGGAGUACGGCCGCAAGGCUAAAACUCAAAUGAAUUGACGGGG